RNAcentral lists this ribosomal RNA (498 nucleotides) under uncultured bacterium. RNAcentral describes it as "partial 16S ribosomal RNA". It matches the Rfam family "Bacterial small subunit ribosomal RNA", at positions 30 to 523 of the family's 1533-position model. The record is from RNAcentral.
AUUGAACGCUGGCGGCAUGCCUUACACAUGCAAGUCGAACGGUAACAGGUCUUCGGAUGCUGACGAUGGGCGAACGGGUGGGUAAUACAUCGGAACGUGCCUAGUAGGGGGGGAAAAUUACUCGAAAGGGUGGCUAAUACCGCAUGGGAUCUACGGAUGAAAGCGGGGGAUCGAAGAACCUGGGCCUACUAAAGCGGCCGAUGGCAGAUUAGGAAGUUGGUGGGAAAAAAGCUUACCAAGCCGACGAUCUGUAGCUGGUCUGAGAGGACGAUCAGCCACACUGGGACUGAGAAACGGCCCAGACUCCUACGGGAGUCAGCGGUGGGGAAUUUUGGACAAUGGGCGCAAGCCUGAUCCAGCAAUGCCGCGUGCAGGAUGAAGGCCUUCGGGUUGUAAACUGCUUUUGUACGGAACGAAAAGCCCCGGGUUAAUACCCUGGGGUCAUGACGGUACCGUAAGAAUAAGCACCGGCUAACUACGUGCCAGCAGCCGCAGUAA